UGGGGAAUAUUGCGCAAUGGGUGAAAGCCUGACGCAGCGACGCCGCGUGAGGGAAGAAGGCCUUCGGGUCGUAAACCUCUGUCUAGAGGGAAGAAACCAUUGAGGUCGAAGAGGCCUCUUUGCUGACGGUACCUCUGAAUAAGCACCGGCUAACUCCGUGCCAGCAGCCGCGGUAAUACGGGGGGUGCAAGCGUUACUCGGAAUCACUGGGCGUAAAGGGAGCGUAGGCGUUCUAUUAAGUCUUGAGUGAAAGCCCGCAGCCUAACUGCGGAACUGCUCAGGAAACUGAUAGAAUUGAGUAUGGAAGAGGUCAGUGGAAUUUCCAGUGUAGGGGUAAAAUCCGUAGAUAUUGGAAGGAAUACCAGAAGCGAAGGCGACUGACUGGGACAUUACUGACGCUGAGGCUCGAAAGCGUGGGGAGCAAACA
Molecule: ribosomal RNA, 427 nt
Filed under: uncultured prokaryote
Description: bacterial SSU rRNA
Rfam family: Bacterial small subunit ribosomal RNA
Source: RNAcentral